GACAAAAUCCAGCAUGUGCCAUCACAACUGACAGAGGAAACCUUGGAAAUAUCUUGAAGUUAGUUAGGGAAAUCAAACUCUUUUUCGCUUAGAAUGCAGGAGUGGCAGCAUCAAAAUUAUGCUGAGGAAUUGUCUGGGAGUGCUGAGAACAUCAUGCCAGGGACUGUUCCAUGGAUAUGGAAGCACAGACAGUUGUAUUCCAGUGCUGAGAUCGCUCCUGGGCUCUGCUCAGUUCACCAGAGUUCUCUUGACCAACUUGGAGAGAGCAGCAUUAGACAGAUUUGAAUUAGGUGUGACAAAUUCCCCAGUUGGUGAGUUGUUUUCCCAUCUGCUAAAUGAGAAAAACAUUUUCCUGACAGAUACUGACAGGAUAAAUCUGAUCAACAUUUUUCAUAAUACUUGGAUAUUACUGAUAGUAAUGCCUUCCAUAUGUGUGAGAAAGAGAGAAAUGUGGAAUGAACCAGUUGCUGAUAAGCUAAUGACACAAAAUCAAGUGUACAGGAGACAGAGAAGAUCAAUAUUUGGACAAAUACAUGCAAACUCAGCUUGGUGCUUGGAGACCAAGAAAGAUACUACAGAUUUUGUGUACUGUGGAUUAACCCUGAUUGGACCACAAGGCAGCAUACAAACAGAGAGAAAGAAAAAAAAAAAAAAAAAGUAAUUGCACCAGUGGACUGGUGAUCAUUGUGCUGCUUCAACUUAAAAAAAAAAAAAAAAAAAAAAAAAGAAGACAGCUGUAGCCACCUGAUGGAGCAGUCCCAGAAGUGCUCUGAAAUCAGAUGUUGCCCCUUGUGUCCUUAUAAUCACUCCACAAAGGUUGCAUUGAGCCAGAGUAUGAAAUGAUAGAAAAAUCCCACCUCGUUCUGGGGUGAGACUGUCUCAAAAGUCUGUUUGCAAGAACAAUGCUGCUUUUCAAGGAGGCAACUUUUCUGCUUGAUACCUUCACUGCAUGGAUACCUUCACUGCACUGGACAGCCUGAGUUUGCAGGCAGUUUGCACAGUAAAUAAAGCUGGCAAGAAAGGUGGGGAAGGACUGCUG
This 1039-nucleotide long non-coding RNA is filed under the name Anser cygnoides (Swan goose). Its description in RNAcentral is "lncRNA (ENSACDG00005006785.1)". The record is from RNAcentral. Lineage: Eukaryota; Metazoa; Chordata; Aves; Anseriformes; Anatidae.